This 1273-nucleotide long non-coding RNA is filed under the name Anas platyrhynchos platyrhynchos (common mallard). RNAcentral describes it as "lncRNA (ENSAPLG00000019278.1)". Lineage: Eukaryota; Metazoa; Chordata; Aves; Anseriformes; Anatidae. The record is from RNAcentral.
UUUUUGUAUGUAGGGUGUUUUUUUAUAUUUCUGGCAAGGAUGUGAGCUCUUUGGUUUCUUGACAAAACUGCUGCAGUUUUUCUUGGAAAUCAUAAUUUGGACGCAGAACUGCAGCUCAUAAAAUAAGCCAUAGUUCCCAUGGUAUGCUGCGUCGCCUGAAUACAGAGAAACUGAUAAACCUGGCUUUAUGGAGGACCUGACAGCAGCCUUCCAGUGCCUCUGAGGAGGUUACAGAGCAGACAGAGCAAGGCCCUUUACAGCACUGCAUGGCAGGAGGUUGAGAAGCAAUGGACAUAAACCAGAACAACAGAGGUUUAGGUUGGCUGUGAGGGGAAAAACUUUCUCCUCAUUAGGCUAGUCAAGCAGAGUUUGGCCAGAGAGGUUGUGUAGUCUCCACCUGUGGAGAUUUUCACAGCCUGACUGGAUAAAGCUCUGAGCAAUGUGGCCUGACCCCAGUGCUGACCCUGCUUGGAGCAGGAGAGGCGACUACAGCCUUCCCGGUCCCUCCCAGCCUGUGCUAUCCUGUGAUCCUCCUGUAUGUAGAACGACUAUGAUGAAACACUCUGUCCUCUGAUGAAGAUGAUUGAACUUUUUGGCUGCAACUAAAGACACCUGGUUAAUAUGAAGUGAUGAAAGCUGGAAUUGGAAGAACAUCUCUAUAGAGGAUGAAGAAUGAAGAUAGUGGGGAGGUGCUUUGGCACAGAAUACUUUCUCACAGGUAGACUCGUGAGUAAGAGCAAAAUCAACAAAAAAAUUAAAAUGACAUCUGGGUGGGUGUGAUUUCUCUUUAUUCUAAUCUAGUUUGUAAGCUAAAACUAGAACAAACUUUUCCUGUGAAUCUAGAAGGAAAGGUUUGAGUAGACCUCAUUUUGUAUUUUGAGAUUAAAUUACCUUUGUGCUUUCUGGAUUUGUGAUUUAAUCCAUCUGUUUUGGAGAGAAGCCUGAAACUAAUAUGAUCAUAGAGAGUGGAAGAGAGGGCUGUGGCCAGUUUGCGUGAGUGAAACUGGGGACUGGAGUGGAACUCCAGUUUGGGUGUCUAGUAGGUGGUUGCUGGAUGGGAACUCAUUUUGAUUAUUACUGAGCUGAGUAGCAAUCAUUCAGUGCAUAAAUCAUACUGAACUAGUCGGUCAUCCUAAUGUGUUAAUGUCUGUCUUUUAGGGACUAUGUUUUAACAAAGCAGUGUUUCUUCUAAUCAGUACAUACUGUAUUUUUGUGUGCUCAGGAUAAAACAUGUGUGACCUUGAUUUAAAAUAAAUACAUCACUACAAGAUCA